GAUUUAGUAAUGGAGUUUCUGGCACUUUUGCUCUCUGUUCACUACCAAAGAAGAACUUUAAACACUGCUAAAAAUUUCUUUCUUAUGUCGCCCUCUUCAAUCUUUGUGGGACAGGAUGAGGUCAAAAUUCGGGAUUUUAGCUAAUAUUAAAUCCGUUUAAACUAGCUAUCAUACUGCUGUUCAUGAACUCAGGUAGUUGCUGUGAAACGACCUGCUACAAAAUCUCGGCAUCAAGCAAACAUAGAUUAUGUUAAGGAACUUCAGAGGUUUAGCCUCAUAAAUCAUGCUGACUUGGAUUGGAUUGGUUACUGCACUAAAGGGAACAACAAAUUUCUUGUUUACGAGAGUCGACGAUGUUGGAUCAGUCCGAAAUGCAUCAUUUCAAUGGAAACCUCAAAGUCCCACUAUCGUACGUGUAUGAAAUGUUUAAUUCAUAAAAUCUAAGUUAUGUUGUUUCUCUUAUGUUGUCUAAGGUUGAGCAAUACCAAAGAAGUGGGAAACAAAUCCAGAGUAAGUUUCACCAUGAGACUGUCAGUUCUAUGUUCACAGGCAGUUCUGAACUCAUUGUCAGACAACAAAAACAGACAAGUGCUUUCUAUUUCACUAUCUUUGGUGUUGCUUUUCAGCAGAGCUAAUAAUUCGUCGCCAUAAUAUGCUUGGACUUCUUGGAAUGCAAUCACAUUAUGUUCUGUAAGCUCGCCUCCACGCAAGUGAGUAUCCUUGUACGCUGGUGUAGUGUUGGCAACUUGUGAACCACUCCAUGCUUGAGGUACUCCAAAUCCAGAAGCAACACUCAAAAUGUCCAGUACGUAGAUGAUCCACGCACAGAUGCAACAUUCUCAGAAUGUACAUUAGAAACUCCAUAUUCCUUGAUUGAUUAGAAACUUAUAAGUUUUGGUUGUUCUAAAUUUCAAAAAUAAAUUGUAAAUCAGGCCUUCUGUUUUUUUAAUCAGACUGUAAAAGUUUGGUAUAAGAUUAAUAAACCCUAAUUAAAUGUUAUAAAG
Long non-coding RNA from Papaver somniferum (opium poppy), 1004 nucleotides. RefSeq lists it as uncharacterized. The transcript is spliced from 3 exons. NCBI's taxonomy places the organism in Eukaryota, Viridiplantae, Streptophyta, Magnoliopsida, Ranunculales, Papaveraceae. The record is from RefSeq and is a predicted model, not a curated record.